This 816-nucleotide long non-coding RNA is filed under the name Musa acuminata (dwarf banana). RNAcentral's name for it is "long non-coding RNA (MACU_LNC004915)". The record is from RNAcentral. Lineage: Eukaryota; Viridiplantae; Streptophyta; Magnoliopsida; Zingiberales; Musaceae.
GUCAGCGUCCACAGGAUGUGGAAGGCGGCCGCCUGCGAGGAUCACAUCCUGCUGCCAAAGAUCAUUCCUCAGUACUUCGCUGGCGCAGAGCUCGUCGGCGAUGGCGAAGCUGGCAGCACAAAGACCUUCCACUUCACUCCAGGUUUAGAUUUUGAUGCUGCUUUCCGACAUUCGUGUGCGUGCGAGAAGAGAUCGCAAAACAAGGAUAAAAAAUAAUCUCACAUCGAUAAAAAGAAUCGGAUGAUACAUAUCGAAACCUUUUUGGUUGAAUUGAUGUAUGAUCUGUUAAUUGGAACUAAUUUGGCUAUUGUUGCGAUCCAUCGAACUGCAGCCGCAGAGCCACUGACCUUCGUGAAGGACCAUGUUGAGGUGUUGGACCACGGAAGCCACACGAUGAGGUACAAGGCGAUCGAAGGAGGUCACCUCGGCCGCACGCUCAAGUCGCACGCGUUCGAGGUCAAGUUCGAAGCGGCGGGCGCCGACAGCUGUGUCGUGAAGACCAAGACAGAAUACGAUACGAUCGACGACGCGCCGCUGCCGGAGGACGAGGUGCAGAAGAUGACGGACGUGCCAGUACGGAUGAUGAAGUCGGUGGAAGCCUAUCUGAUAGCCAACCCCGGUGUUUGUGCCUGAGCCCCUGAGCCUCUGAGCCGGUGGGCUUUCGUGUACCGACGUUGGUGCUUCCAGUGUCGUAGUGCUUGUCAUUGGGCGUGGAUCAAUCAAUAAUGAGGUGAUGCAGCAGUGCUGGAAUCAUCACCUUUAGAGUGAGAGAGUGAGAGAGUGAGAGAGAGAUAGGACAUGACAUGUUGAUGCCAU